Molecule: unclassified non-coding RNA, 330 nt
Filed under: Hevea brasiliensis (rubber tree)
Lineage: Eukaryota; Viridiplantae; Streptophyta; Magnoliopsida; Malpighiales; Euphorbiaceae
Source: RNAcentral
AUAAUUUCCCAUCACACCAAAGAAAUUGUGAUAUAACUUAAAUUUUAGAUUUUAACUGCUAUAAACACCAAUGAGUAACAAUGGCUGACCAGUAUACUGCGACAUAUCAACGAAGAUUAACCCAAAUCCCAAAUCUGUGGAGCUGAAAUGCCAGUCCAACCAUGCAGUCACACAUAAAGGCCAGUGACAAUUACCAAAUGCCAUCAACUAUUAGCAAAAGCUAGUUUAACAUUACACAAUUGUGGGGCAACUAAUAGUUACCAUAAACCAGCAGUUCUUAGAUAUAGAAGUUUUCACAUUACACAAGAUGAGGGUAUUGCUUGGCUUGCU